RNAcentral lists this ribosomal RNA (158 nucleotides) under Tripospora tripos. RNAcentral describes it as "5.8S ribosomal RNA". It matches the Rfam family "5.8S ribosomal RNA". Rfam says of the family: 5.8S ribosomal RNA (5.8S rRNA) is a component of the large subunit of the eukaryotic ribosome. It is transcribed by RNA polymerase I as part of the 45S precursor that also contains 18S and 28S rRNA. Functionally, it is thought that 5.8S rRNA may be involved in ribosome translocation. Lineage: Eukaryota; Fungi; Ascomycota; Eurotiomycetes; Coryneliales; Coryneliaceae. The record is from RNAcentral.
AAACUUUCAACAAUGGAUCUCUUGGUUCUGGCAUCGAUGAAGAACGCAGCGAAACGCGAUAGGUAUUGUGAAUUGCAGAUUUUAGUGAAUCAUCGAAUCUUUGAACGCACAUUGCGCCCCUUGGUAUUCCGAGGGGCAUGCCUGUCUGAGCGUCAUUU